Molecule: long non-coding RNA, 887 nt
Organism: Arachis stenosperma
Lineage: Eukaryota; Viridiplantae; Streptophyta; Magnoliopsida; Fabales; Fabaceae
Exons: 3
Source: RefSeq, a predicted model, not a curated record
AUACAAAAAAAAAAACUGCAUCUGACAAAUAAAAAAAAUCAAAAAAAUUAUUCAUCAACACUCUCAAAGACCGUCUCUCUCACUCUCAAUUCUCAGACUCGCUCUCUCUUCUCUCUCACUGCCACUUGCCCACUAGAGUCUCUCUCGGUCUCACUCGACUCUUGUCUCCUUUACACUCGCCGGCAUCUCGUCUUGUCGCCGACGUUUCAACGGUCCCGCAGCCUUCCCUGGGAUCCUCAUUUUAGACUACAGAAGCAACUUGGUGGGUCGUCGUCUCUUGUCGUCUUCUGGGUUUGGGUCCUCGACGGACCGUUUUUUCAAUCUCUUCAAGUUCCAUGGCAUUCCUAUUGUUAACGCUGAUGUCAUCGCUCGUGAUGCUUUGACGAAAGGUAGCGGUGGAUGGAAAAAAGUUGUAGCUUUUGGGGAGGAAAUUCUCCUUGAAAAUAGAGAAGUCAAUAGACCCAUGCUUGGCCAAAUUGUCUUUUCCGAUCUUGAUAAGAGCCAAUUUUUCAAUCGAAAAAGAGACUCAUGGAGACAAACCAAAUGAGGAGGAUGCUGUGUACAGGAUCAAUGCUCAAAUGCCACUUGAUGUGAAGAGGAAUAAAGUAGAUAUAGUGAUAGAUAACACUGGAUCACUUGAUGACUUGAAUGAACAGUUUCAGAAGGUUCUAAUUGAAGUGUCAAAACUCUUGACAUGGACUCAGUUUUGUCUUUCGAAGAAUGGAGCCUUGGUCAUACUUGCUUUGCUCACAUCGGGUGUUGUUUUGUGUAUAAAAGAACUUCGGGUGUUAUUGUGUAUAAAAUCACUUUUAUAGUCACUUGUGUUUUUCAGAAGAUUAAAUUUAAAGUUGUAAUUUAGCAUUUUAAAAGAUGAAUUUAGCUGUGAA